RNAcentral lists this ribosomal RNA (253 nucleotides) under uncultured bacterium. RNAcentral's name for it is "partial 16S ribosomal RNA". It matches the Rfam family "Bacterial small subunit ribosomal RNA", at positions 524 to 776 of the family's 1533-position model. The record is from RNAcentral.
UACGGAGGGUGCAAGCGUUGUUCGGAUUUAUCGGGCGUAAAGCGCGUGUAGGCGGUUUCUUAAGUCUGAUGUGAAAGCCCUGGGCUCAACCCAGGAAGUGCAUUGGAUACUGGGAGACUUGAAUACGGGAGAGGGUAGUGGAAUUCCUAGUGUAGGAGUGAAAUCCGUAGAUAUUAGGAGGAACACCGGUGGCGAAGGCGGCUACCUGGACCGAUAUUGACGCUGAGACGCGAAAGCGUGGGGAGCAAACAGG